Long non-coding RNA from Alligator mississippiensis (American alligator), 2221 nucleotides. RefSeq lists it as uncharacterized. NCBI's taxonomy places the organism in Eukaryota, Metazoa, Chordata, Crocodylia, Alligatoridae. The transcript has 2 exons. The record is from RefSeq and is a predicted model, not a curated record.
UUGUCUCCCUGGCCCUGCUCCUUGGAGGCAAUGGUGGUGCAGGGUAGUGGUGGAGGGGGACGGAGGAGCGCCACCAUGGCGGUGAGGAUGGGGGGAGGGGCCAGGAGGCCAGCAGCGCUGGCCUUGCCCCCGGCUCCUUGGAGGCUACGGCUGAGGGUGGUGGCAGUGCGGUACUGACCUCACCCGCCCCAAGGUCAGCGCCGCACUGCCACCAUCCUCUGCAUCCGCCCCCAGCCCUCAUGAUGAUUCUUGAUGGGCAGUAAUCUAGAAUCACAGUUCACCCUGAUAAAUGGGUAAAAAGAUAACAAAAAGGAUUUAAUUGGGGGGGGGGAGGAAAACCAGUAUAAGAAAUCAGUAACCACCAUAUGUUGAAGUACAGACAAAGAUAGAAGAAUACACAGACCAAAAAGUAUCAGAACAGUAAGCUGUUCUUUCCCUACACCUUAAAUCCUAGAAUGCAGUCCCUAGCUGCCUUCAAUAGGUUAACAGAAACAGCUUCUGUUUCUGACUCUCCUACCAGAGACUUCUGCAAGUUCUUCUGUUAGCUUCUUUACCCAGCCUGCUUCAUUUAUGAAGACAGUAGUACCCUGCUCUUAAAGCAGACUUAAGAACAAUUUCUUAUCUGGGUAUUCACAUAAGUCACUUAUUGGAUUUUUAGGGGCCACACUAUGCAUAUGACUUCCUGCCCUCCCCUCCAAAACGGUUUGUGUUUACCAGAACAGAAAUCUUUUCUAAUCUAAUUAGGACCUGGAGAAUAUGUGUAUCCUUUCGGACAUAGAUUCGUUAAUCCAAUAUAUUGUCUCCCUCAAUUUUUGCUCAGUGGGAAUUGUUCUCCCUCUUUCUAGGCUUUACUCACGCUAAGGUUUUUCCUUUUAAAAUGUAAAUUAAUCAUUGUGCAGGAGGGUCUUUCCAUGAGUAAACACCCAUGUCAGCUGCUGAUUACAACUUUACAGUCUUUCCUUAGAUGCCAAAGAAACUCAUUGUUUAUCACUUGUAGGUCGUAUUGUGCAAUCCUGGCCCUAUUAUAACAUAUAAGAAAUGUGUUGUGGUAUUUGAUAUAAAAUAUUUGUAACAUAAGGACAAUAAGACUAGCUGCAGCUUGAUGUUACCUUUCUAGAAGCUACGCUUGCCAUAUCAGUAAAAUAGGUCAUGCAAGACACCCCGCAAUCCUCCAGAUCAGCAUAGGGGUUCAUGGCAAAAACCUAAGCAUAAUGCAUGUUAUAAGUGUAAGAUUUAUACACAAUUAGGAGACGGGGAAAGUUGUUUAUAUACAGGUAAGGUUGAAGGAAACACUUGUCAUGAUUUUUAGAGGUUACCAUGCUUACCACAGGUAUUGGCAAGCUAAAGAAUCAAGAAUGUGAGGCCACUUCAGGGUCCUCCAGAAUCUUCUGAGAAUUUUCCAGUCUUGCUUUUUAAUUUAAGUGAAGAGUAACUACUGAGUUAAAUAUAUUUGCUGUGUUGCAGUGAAUCUAGGAGAGCUUAAAGUUUUCUGAUGUUCUGGAAUAUAACACUAAUGAAUAAGGAAUUCUUGGUCAUUGUAUAUUUAAAUUCAGUCUGUAGUUAAUGCUUCUCUACACUCUGGAGAAAGCAAUAGUUCUGAAAAAUCUGCAACAGUUUAUUAGUGUGUUUUGUUUUGUUUUUUAACUUUGCAGUAACCACUUCACCAGGAACAGAAAAACCAGAAUGUGGUAAAACUUAAUACCUGAUCUUUUAGGGUUACAUGCAAUGGAAGUGUUGGGGGGGGAUGUCAUAAUUUAAGUGGACAGCCUUUGAUUUGGAAACUUCUUGGUUUUUCUGUCUACAUGAACUAUGUAACCUUCUUUGCAGUUUUGUUUAGGUUGUGGUUACUUCCCUACGUUAGAAGUUCUGACAGCUGUCUCACUUAAGAAAAAUAGCUGUGAAAAUACAAGGUCCAGUUCUGCAUUCACUACACAUCCAAAAUUUGAGUUUCAUUAACUCUGGAUUUCUUGGGUGUUUCAUGGUAUGCAAGACUGCACUCUGUACAUGUGCAGAGACCAAGCAGUCCAUCACAGUUUAUACUUUUUUUUGCACCGGUUUGAUCUACACUUUGUGGAGAUUAAAAAGUGUAUGCUGAAGGGGUCUAGUUCUGCAAGAAGGAGCAGCUGUGACCUACAGACUAUUGUCUGUCUGUCUUCCCUCUUGUUCUGUUUUGCUGUUAAUAUUGGCAUAAUCAAUAAAAGGAUUAUUUCUGUUGAUUUUA